This 290-nucleotide ribosomal RNA is filed under the name Macrocheles subbadius. Its description in RNAcentral is "partial 18S ribosomal RNA". It matches the Rfam family "Eukaryotic small subunit ribosomal RNA", at positions 1264 to 1580 of the family's 1831-position model. The record is from RNAcentral. Lineage: Eukaryota; Metazoa; Arthropoda; Arachnida; Mesostigmata; Macrochelidae.
GAUUUGGUGGAUGGUGGUGCAUGGCCGUUCUUAGUUGGUGGAGUGAUUUGUCUGGUUAAUUCCGAUAACGAACGAGACUCUAGCCUAUUAAAUAACACACAGAAUCAUGUCUUCUGCGGUGUUUCUUAAUGGGAUCAAGUGUGUUUAACACUUUGAAACAGAGCAAUAACAGGUCUGUGAUGCCCUUAGAUGUUCGGGGCCGCACGCGCGCUACAUUGAAAGACAAAAUGAGCGUUUCUGGUUUUUAACAAAACUAGUAAUCUUUGAAUGUUUUUCUUAAUGGGGAUAGG